Molecule: long non-coding RNA, 4034 nt
Organism: Pan troglodytes (chimpanzee)
Lineage: Eukaryota; Metazoa; Chordata; Mammalia; Primates; Hominidae
Source: Ensembl
UCAAAAGUUUUUACAGCAGCACCAGAAUGACAGAAUAUCUGUAUUGGGUUCUGAGUUGGAUAGUUAACUGCCUCUUCACCUCACUUGCCUUCACUAUCAACUUCCAUAACCAGUGAAAAAUAAUGAAAUAAUGGCAAUCAACCCUCUUCUGCUCUUGGCAUCUCAGCUUUUCCCAAGCCUUAACUCUCCACCUCAACUGGUCUCUGGAACUCAUGCAGGUCACUGUUGUUGGGAAUGGAGUUUCCUCAAAAAAUUAAAAAUGGAACUACCAUGUGACUCAGCAAUCCCACUUCUAAGUAUACAUUCAAAAGAAUUAAAAUCAGGAUUUCAAAGAUAUAUGUACACUCCUAUUUUCUUUGCAGCAUUAUUCACGAUAGCUAAAAUAUAGAAACAACCUAAAAUCCCAUUGACUCCUAAAUGAAUAAAGAAAAUCUGAUACAUACGUACAAUGGAAUUUUGCUCAGUCUCAGCAAAGAAGGAAAUCUUACCAUUUACCACACCGUGGUCAAACUUUGAAGACAUUAUAUUAAGUGAAAUAAGCCAGACACAGCUAUGAUGUAUUACAGCAAAGAGAAUAAAAGAAUAUCAACAAAAGAAAAUGGAACAUGGGGUGAAGUUUGGAGGAAACGAAGUGCAAGGUGCCAAAAUCAUUUCCUAGUACAUAGAUGUGACUAAUUUUUCCAGCAAUGAGUUGUGACAACUUGUGUGAAAUGUCAUCUACCAAGGAAGCACACUAGAAAUUCAGCGCCCAGGGAUUUUCUUCAGGGAUGGGUUUGUGGGGAUACCUCUCUCUAUCAUAUAUUAAGUUUCUAGCUUCCAAGUAGGAAAGCAGGUGUUCAAUAUAAAUUAUAUUGUAUGCACAAACUGUUUAGGAACAUUGAGACACUCUUUAUUCUUAUUUAAAAAUGCACAGAACUUUGACACAUGUGGAAACACUCUUGAAAUCCAUGUUUUUAAGUGCCAACCAAGAGGCAGCAAUGCAAGCAAGCCUUUCUAAGGAUAUUUUCAGGGUUGCUGUGUUAACUUUUUUCUGUGUAAUAUGAUAUAGUAAUUAAAUUUAAUGGGGAUUAUGUUGGGAAUAUAAUAAGUCAAAAUUUUCUGUCUUACCAUUUUUAAAAUAAUAGGAUAAUCUUACCAAAUACUAGGCAAAACCAGAAUAAAAAUGAAGUUAUGCUUGGGAAUCAAUAGAGGUAAAUAAGGUAAUAUCAUGAAUAUAGGGUCACAUUAGAAAAAAAGGCUUUUACAUUUUAGUAUAAUAAUUAUAUUAUGUCACUUAAACUAUUUUAAAUAUAUUUUAAAUAUAUCAGAAAGACUUUGCACAGUUUGAGAAAUGCUAAUAUAAACAGUGACAUUAAAUACUCUGCAUUCUAUUUUUACAAAAUUAUUUGAUAGAAGUACAAAUGUGAGAAAAAAGUGUGACAUUUCUCACAUGUCAGUUUUUGUAUUUAUUAAAAUCCAUUUAUAAUUUAAAAACGAAUUGAGCAACUAAGGGAGGGUAACUGUAAGUUAUUAUCCAUCUGGAUAUAGCUCACAUACUUGCCAUCAGGUCAUUUUUGGCCUAAAUUUAUUUUCUGUUGACUCUGCUUCACUUCUUAGUGAAGGUGUUUGUUCAUUGUUUCUUUGGUCUUAUUUGAUUAUGAGAUGUAUGUGGUUGAUGGUAUUAUUUGCAGACUCUGAAGACAAGUAGAAGGAUGCUUUCCUGUGGAGAGUGAUUCAAUUUGAUGUGCCCAGAGCCUAAAUAACUUCAGAUUUGGACCCCAACUAUCCCCUGCCAACUCUUCAUUUUGUAUGUGAGUGCCAGGUUCAAGGUCUCCCUUACUAAGUGUGGGAAAAAGCCCCAUGGCCCCAGAGCAAUACUGACUGUAUUUCUGUCCACAUAACUGACUUCUGUUUGCUUUCAAUGCUUGCCACUUAGGUUCAAGCUCAUGCUUUUAAUCUCUCUCUCUCUCUCUUUUGAUUUGUAGUGUUUUUGAUUAUAUCCUGCAGCCUAGAAAUGAAGUAUAAUUUGCGUUUCAUGCAGGUUUUAGGUAGCAGGAAUGCCCCCAGAGAAUUUAACCUACUCUGUUGAUGGAAACAGUACUCCACAGCACUUUGAUGCUUAAUAUUCAGUGAAUUGUGGCUAAUACUGUAUCAUGGAAUUAUAAUACAAAGAAAGUUAUUGUGGAAAAAUAACAUCCAUUUAUCACCUUCUCAUUCCAUAAACAUUAACGGUGUUUACUGAGAGCCAAGCACGAUACUCAGUACUGAGGCUUCAGAGGGGAAGAAGUAAUAGUCCUUACUCUUAAGGAUCAAUGCAUAGUGAAGGUACAGACCAACUUGUAAGUGAAUAAAUUAUAGUACAAUGUCAUAUAUACGAAAUUAGGUGAAAACAGGAUACAUGAGUCCAACAUGACGUUAUGUUUUCAUCAAAUUCUCAUAUCCUAUUCUAUGAGCAUCCUGAAAACUAUCCUCCCCAAAUUCUUGCAGUUGUCCAAGGCCAUUUAAAUAUUAAUCUGUCCAGUUAAAUGUGGGCCAGAUAGAAGUGGGCCACUCCAAGGUUAAAGCUGUAAAAUCUGCUGUGCCAUCCUCCAGUUUCUCUCUUCCUCUGCAGUGGCAAUAUGGAAGUCUCUUGUGGGGUCACAAGCUCAAAAUAGCAUGGGUGUCAUAUUGUGGAGCAGUGCCCUGGGCAAUAACCGUGAUUUACUGUGGGGUUUCUGAAAGUAGGCAAACCACUGAGAUGUCACAUUUGUUUAUUAAAUAUAGCAUAACAUGGACUAUGCUACCAAUAAAAUAUGGAGGGAGCACAGAAAAUGGAAUUGACUUUGUUUGGUAGGGGCCAGGAAGGAUUUCUGGAAGAGUAUUGACCACAGGUUGACAUAGAGAAGACCAGGUGCAGACAUUAAGGUGUGAAGAUAAUUAGAAUAUUGGGGAAACUAUAAACAAUUGUAAAGACAAUUACUGUAGAUGCAAGGAAAGAAAAGAAUAUUAAGAAGAAGCUGAUCCUAGUAAAGAAUAUUCUAUAACAAUGUCUAAGAGUUUGGGGCUGCAAGUAAUAGAAACAGACUCUAGCUAAUUUAAGUUUUUUUUAAAAAAAUCAACUGGAUAAGUGCUUAGGUGGAAAACAGGAUCUAGAGAACCGAGCUUGGAGAACUGAUGUAACCAAAAGAUUCUGGUGCAGGAACCACUUCCAAGGUUGCCCAGCAUAGGCAGUCUGACACCUCUCCCCCUACUUGGCAGCUUCCCCAAACACCCCUAUUCUUCACCUUAGAUUUUGAGGCUCCUGACACUAGAUGAUGCUUUGAGAUAAAUUGCACAUUCUUUUUAAAUUUACUAAAUAUUUGCCCAGUGCUCAAAUCCUUUUCUAAAAGCGUUGUCUGAGCUUAAGUAACGUGCCCCUAUUUGCCGCCAGGAUACAGCAUUUCCCAUAGGAGAAGGCAGGGUUUGGACAUAGGGUAGACAAAACAAUAACAACAACAACAGCAAAACAAACAAACCGUCCUCUAAUAAGCCAUGCAAGAUUUGAUCCCAUCUUGUGUCAUUUCUCUCCUUUCUCUCUGUAUGACAAAUACUGCAACAUUCUUUUAUUUCUUCAAACGAGGCCGACUCAAAUCACACACUUCACUUACUGUUCCCUUUUCAUGAAAUUCUUUUCACGCGCCUUUUUAUUUACCUUUUUAGUGACUCAGCUGUCACCUUGAUAGGUCGAUCUUUCUUAUAAAUCCUGUAUAAUUUCACCUAAACUCCCUAGACAAUCUAUAUCACAUGAUUGAUUUAUCAAUUUAUGGCCCUUGUUAAUAUUUAAAGUGAUAUUCAUUUUGUUUGGUUAUAGGAUCAUUAUUUUUGCACCAGGAAACCCUGAGAAGGCAGAUGUUUCUUUUUGAGUACGCGUAUCCCAAAACCUUGAGCACCAUGUGGCCCAUAUUCUGUGCUCUGUAUAUACCCAUUGGAUUAAAGAUUGGGAAGUAGCAACUCUACUUAACAUGAAAAGCUUCCUGAUUAUUUGAUAGAAAUAAUUUUCGUGUAAGUCUAAAAAGCAGAGCCAAAAUUGUAGUUUG